Molecule: ribosomal RNA, 508 nt
Filed under: uncultured bacterium
Lineage: Bacteria
Description: partial 16S ribosomal RNA
Rfam family: Bacterial small subunit ribosomal RNA
Source: RNAcentral
GAUGAACGCUAGCUACAGGCUUAACGCAUGCAAGUCGAGGGGAAACGAUAGGGAAAGCUUGCUUUUUCUAGGCGUCGACCGGCGCACGGGUGAGUAACGCGUAUCCAACCUGCCCAUCACUUGGGGAUAACCUUGCGAAAGUAAGACUAAUACCCAAUGACGUCUCUAGAAGACAUCUGAAGGAGAUUAAAGAUUUAUCGGUGAUGGAUGGGGAUGCGUCUGAUUAGCUUGUUGGCGGGGUAACGGCCCACCAAGGCGACGAUCAGUAGGGGUUCUGAGAGGAAGGUCCCCCACAUUGGAACUGAGACACGGUCCAAACUCCUACGGGAGGCAGCAGUGAGGAAUAUUGGUCAAUGGACGAGAGUCUGAACCAGCCAAGUAGCGUGCAGGAAGACGGCCCUAUGGGUUGUAAACUGCUUUUAUAAGGGAAUAAAGUGAGUCUCGUGAGACUUUUUGCAUGUACCUUAUGAAUAAGGACCGGCUAAUUCCGUGCCAGCAGCCGCCGUAA